Molecule: ribosomal RNA, 557 nt
Filed under: uncultured Methylobacterium sp.
Lineage: Bacteria; Pseudomonadati; Pseudomonadota; Alphaproteobacteria; Hyphomicrobiales; Methylobacteriaceae
Description: bacterial SSU rRNA
Rfam family: Bacterial small subunit ribosomal RNA
Source: RNAcentral
ACGGGUGAGUAACACGUGGGAACGUACCCUUUGGUUCGGAAUAACGCUGGGAAACUAGCGCUAAUACCGGAUACGCCCUUUUGGGGAAAGGCUUGCUGCCGAAGGAUCGACCCGCGUCUGAUUAGCUAGUUGGUGGGGUAAUGGCCUACCAAGGCGACGAUCAGUAGCUGGUCUGAGAGGAUGAUCAGCCACACUGGGACUGAGACACGGCCCAGACUCCUACGGGAGGCAGCAGUGGGGAAUAUUGGACAAUGGGCGCAAGCCUGAUCCAGCCAUGCCGCGUGAGUGAUGAAGGCCUUAGGGUUGUAAAGCUCUUUUGUCCGGGACGAUAAUGACGGUACCGGAAGAAUAAGCCCCGGCUAACUUCGUGCCAGCAGCCGCGGUAAUACGAAGGGGGCUAGCGUUGCUCGGAAUCACUGGGCGUAAAGGGCGCGUAGGCGGCCAUUCAAGUCGGGGGUGAAAGCCUGUGGCUCAACCACAGAAUUGCCUUCGAUACUGUUUGGCUUGAGUUUGGUAGAGGUUGGUGGAACUGCGAGUGUAGAGGUGAAAUUCGUAGA